This 906-nucleotide ribosomal RNA is filed under the name Enterococcus sp. 86B4_12EGalle. Its description in RNAcentral is "bacterial SSU rRNA". It matches the Rfam family "Bacterial small subunit ribosomal RNA", at positions 53 to 930 of the family's 1533-position model. The record is from RNAcentral. Lineage: Bacteria; Bacillati; Bacillota; Bacilli; Lactobacillales; Enterococcaceae.
ACAUGCAAGUCGAACGCUUUUUCUUUCACCGGAGCUUGCUCCACCGAAAGAAAAAGAGUGGCGAACGGGUGAGUAACACGUGGGUAACCUGCCCAUCAGAAGGGGAUAACACUUGGAAACAGGUGCUAAUACCGUAUAACAAGUAAAACCGCAUGGUUUUACUUUGAAAGGCGCUUUUGCGUCACUGAUGGAUGGACCCGCGGUGCAUUAGCUAGUUGGUGAGGUAACGGCUCACCAAGGCAACGAUGCAUAGCCGACCUGAGAGGGUGAUCGGCCACAUUGGGACUGAGACACGGCCCAAACUCCUACGGGAGGCAGCAGUAGGGAAUCUUCGGCAAUGGACGAAAGUCUGACCGAGCAACGCCGCGUGAGUGAAGAAGGUUUUCGGAUCGUAAAACUCUGUUGUUAGAGAAGAACAAGGAUGAGAGUAAAAAGUUCAUCCCUUGACGGUAUCUAACCAGAAAGCCACGGCUAACUACGUGCCAGCAGCCGCGGUAAUACGUAGGUGGCAAGCGUUGUCCGGAUUUAUUGGGCGUAAAGCGAGCGCAGGCGGUUUCUUAAGUCUGAUGUGAAAGCCCCCGGCUCAACCGGGGAGGGUCAUUGGAAACUGGGAAACUUGAGUGCAGAAGAGGAGAGUGGAAUUCCAUGUGUAGCGGUGAAAUGCGUAGAUAUAUGGAGGAACACCAGUGGCGAAGGCGGCUCUCUGGUCUGUAACUGACGCUGAGGCUCGAAAGCGUGGGGAGCAAACAGGAUUAGAUACCCUGGUAGUCCACGCCGUAAACGAUGAGUGCUAAGUGUUGGAGGGUUUCCGCCCUUCAGUGCUGCAGCUAACGCAUUAAGCACUCCGCCUGGGGAGUACGACCGCAAGGUUGAAACUCAAAGGAAUUGACGGGGGCCCGCACAAGC